RNAcentral lists this ribosomal RNA (396 nucleotides) under uncultured bacterium. RNAcentral describes it as "partial 16S ribosomal RNA". It matches the Rfam family "Bacterial small subunit ribosomal RNA", at positions 523 to 918 of the family's 1533-position model. The record is from RNAcentral.
AUACGUAGGGGGCGAGCGUUGUCCGGAAUUACUGGGCGUAAAGGGUGCGUAGGUGGCACUUUAAGUUGGAUGUGAAAUCCCCGUGCUUAACAUGGGAGCUGCAUCCAAUACUGGAGAGCUAGAGUGCAGGAGAGGUAAGCGGAAUUCCUAGUGUAGCGGUGAAAUGCGUAGAUAUUAGGAGGAACACCAGUGGCGAAGGCGGCCUGCUGGACGACAACGGACGCUGAGGCGCGAAAGCGUGGGGAGCAAACAGGAUUAGAUACCCUGGUAGUCCACGCCGUAAACGAUGGAUACUAGGUGUGGGGGGACUGACCCCCUCCGUGCCGCAGUCAACACAAUAAGUAUCCCACCUGGGGAGUACGAUCGCAAGAUUGAAACUCAAAUGAAUUGACGGGG